Pelobates cultripes (western spadefoot toad) is the source of this 538-nucleotide non-coding RNA. NCBI's taxonomy places the organism in Eukaryota, Metazoa, Chordata, Amphibia, Anura, Pelobatidae. The record is from the annotation of a GenBank genome assembly.
CCUGCUUGCCAGCCUCCUCCCCUGUGACUAUGACUCUUUCAUGUAUUUGGCUUUAAAGCCCCUAGUCUACCUUCAGACAGACUAUUUAUGUAGGCUGCUUUAUUUAUCUUAUGUUUUAGUCACCCUGUACCCAUUAUAGGUGCAGGGUGUGUGUAAUGUAAUUGUUUAUAGUGUGUGUGUGUGUACUGUGAAAUGUAUUGCCUGCUCUCCUGUACUGCUGAGGUUUGCUACCAACUAGGUGGGUUUGGCUAUGGAGCUUGUCUAGUGCCCUCUGUUGGUAGCAACAGCAAUAUGCACUACCUGAAUUGCAAGACUGGUUCAUUUGCAUAUUUGGGUAGAUUUGCAUAUUGCUAAUUCUGCAGGCAGGUGAGAUAUUUACUGUUAAAUAUUGUCUCCCCCACCCCUUUAAAAAUGUGCCAUUGUGUUGUGAUAAGUCACUGUGUGUUGCCUGCUAUGGUUUGACUGUUUUUGAUUUUAUUGAGGUUUCACAACAAUGUUAUUGUGGUGACCCUAUGGGCUGGUCCCAAGGGAAAUAAAG